This is a long non-coding RNA of Lotus japonicus, 1356 nucleotides long. RefSeq lists it as uncharacterized. The transcript is spliced from 3 exons. The record is from RefSeq and is a predicted model, not a curated record. Lineage: Eukaryota; Viridiplantae; Streptophyta; Magnoliopsida; Fabales; Fabaceae.
CCACCGUCCACUCUCUCUCACUCUUGACUUUUCUCCUUUUCUUCCCAUAAUAUCUUUUCUCCUUCUUCAGCACAAUUCAUUCUUUUCCCUGCUGCAUACCCACGCUCAACAUCAUCACCAUAUUCAUUUCUUCUUCUAUUUUCUUCUUAUUUUCUCAACUUGCUGCAGCAUCAUCCUUACCAUUCUUCUUCUUCUUCCUCUACCCAUGGCAGCACCCAUCACCGUGUUUCCUCUUCAUUUCUCUUCUCCAAGCGUGGCAACACAAGCCACCACCACCAUAAUCGUGCUCCUCCUUGAACCACCACCGCUGGCCGCAAGCCACACCAUGCCAGACUUCAUGCUUUUCUCUCCUCUCCACGAUACCACCAUCCCCAUGAAGCAACCAGCCAACACCUCCAUGUCUCCUCCCACGCGCGCGACAACAACAUCACCGCUGGUCACCACCGCCCUUUUCUCCCAUGAGAACCCUUUUCUGUCCUCCCUCCAUGGCCGAGCAAGUCAUCCACAACACCAUGUGGCUUCCAUCGAAGCUCAUCACCAUCAACAAGACAAGAAAACGUGAGAAACAGAGAAGAACGACAUCGCCGACAUCGCCGACAUCGCCGACGUCGCCGACGUCGCCGACGCCGCAAUCUUCGCCCUUCGAUUCCGUUGUCCUCGGGCCUCCGUUCACAGCGAGGUUAGUACCGUUGGAAUCCUUGCGACGUGCACAACAAAACCCAUGUUCCGAAUCGUCGUUCCGCCGCCGUCGACCGCCGUCCCUGCCGCCUUCGGAGCCGUUUUCCGAUCAACUCCGGCGACCGGUGGAAAAAAACGGAGUAUACCACGCUGAUCCUUGCCGCGAGAGGAACAAUAGCCCUCAAUCAAUUUCAGUUUUGGACAACUUUUGUCGGCGAGCUCCGCCGAUCUACAAUUUGACUUCCUGGGCAAACUGUCAACUUUUUGGGGGAACGGACAACACCAUUGAGUUCUUGGCCGCGAAAGGAUGAAGAAACAUUAUCCCGUUGUGUCUCCGGCGACAGUUCCUUCGUCAACCCCCGCGAACAACGACUUUCUCGGGCGACCCUUUGCCGACAAGUUUCUGAAACUUGAUUUUCGUUUGGACUUGGACAACUAUGACGUGUUGAGGUGGAACAGGAGCGAGCUUCAAACUGUAGAGCCUAACAAAAUAGAGGCCCUAACAGGUGUCGCUGCAAGUAGCUGUUGAUUGCUGCAAGAAGGUGAUUCGACUGAUUGUCAAGAAGACUUGCUUGGAGUUGGUGAACCAAUCGAAGAUUUGUAGAAGUAAUAGUUAGAUGUAAGGCUAGAGCCUUGGGUAGAGAAGCUUACCGUCAUUGGUUGAAGCUCGUAAGAAUG